UAUUUCCACAGGGGGGGCUGCUUUAUGCGGCUGAGAGUGAACGUUCGAGUUCUGACCCUAUGAACCUGUUAGUUAACACUAGCGUAGGGAUGUGGUUUGCCGGACAA
RNAcentral lists this non-coding RNA (107 nucleotides) under Neobacillus vireti. RNAcentral's name for it is "Bacillus vireti TPP sequence". It matches the Rfam family "TPP riboswitch aptamer (THI element)". From Rfam's summary of the family: Vitamin B(1) in its active form thiamin pyrophosphate (TPP) is an essential coenzyme that is synthesised by coupling of pyrimidine and thiazole moieties in bacteria. The previously detected thiamin-regulatory element, thi box was extended, resulting in a new, highly conserved RNA secondary structure, the THI element, which is widely distributed in eubacteria and also occurs in some archaea. Analysis of operon structures identified a large number of new candidate thiamin-regulated genes, mostly transporters, in various prokaryotic organisms. RNAcentral also lists the same sequence under 1 other name. The record is from RNAcentral. Lineage: Bacteria; Bacillati; Bacillota; Bacilli; Caryophanales; Bacillaceae.